Molecule: long non-coding RNA, 1333 nt
Filed under: Capsicum annuum
Lineage: Eukaryota; Viridiplantae; Streptophyta; Magnoliopsida; Solanales; Solanaceae
Description: long non-coding RNA (CANN_LNC000433)
Source: RNAcentral
AAGAAUAUAAAAAAUAUAAACACACAGUUUAAAGUCUUCUUUGAAUGUCAUUUCUUACAAGUAUUCUCAAUAACUUGUAUAAACAUUUUUAAUAAAAACGUUAAUAACAAAUAAAUAAUAAUCAAAAUAAAUUAAAAAGUAUGUGUGCAUAUACAUAUUUUAAAAUAUAAUUUUUGUUAAAAAGUGCGCUCAGAUAAAGUUUUGAAUAUUAUAAAGAUUUUGUCAUCGCCCAAAUUUAUUUAUUUUUUGGUUACGUAUUAGUAUACGUAAUGUCCGUCUUUACUUAGGGAAGGCCUCGAAAACUGACGGGGGUUUCUUCAUUGGCCAUGUGUCGUCACUUCAUAUAAACUAAUAAAUUUUAGAAAAAAUAACAUCCGUCUUUCGUAAUGGUAUGGCCUCAAAUAUCCAGACGGGUAAAUAAUUUCAUUGGCCAUUUGUCGGCCUUUGAUAUAAAUACUAAAUUUGAAAAUGUAAAGUCCGUCUUUAUAAUGGAAUGGCCUCAAAUAUCGAGACGGAGAUAUAAUUUCAUUGGCCAUGUGUCGGCCUUUGAUAUAAAUAGUAAAUUUAAAAAUGUAAAGUCUGCCUUUGUAAUGAGAUGGCCUCAAAUAUCCCGACGGAGAGAUAAUUUCUUUGGCCAAUAAUAGGAUAAUGUCCCAAAGACAAUAAAGGUAAAAAAUUCAACGUCAACAAUGUGGGAUCGGCUAGAGAAACAAUGACUGUCAGAAUACAUAACUAGAACAAACAAUUAAUAAAAUACUGAAACGGUUUAAUUAGUAACAUGGCAGCCAAGAUCCCAUCAUCGAAAAAUCCACCGGUGUCGAAACUUCAACGAAAAUAAGAAGAUAAGGAUGAACAAAAGAUAGAAAAAUUUAUAUACACAGAUGUACGAAAUGCAGUCAAUAGCAACAAAAUGAAACUUUAAUGAAUAAUGGGCAGAUCUGUCAAGAUCUACAAUAGUAACACUGUUAAUGGGAAAUAGGGGUUUGAAAUAAUGCAGUAGUAAUGCGGCUGGUGUCUGGCAGCUCACCCGCCGAUGAACAAUUCCUGCGAGGUAGUGGGAAGAGAGAAAAGAAAGAGGGGCGGCACAGUGGUUCGCUGGCCACGGUGUUCUACGACGACGAUGGUGCAUGGAUGGAGGUCACCGUUUAUGGACUGUUGGGCGACGGGAAAGAGGUGUGGUGGUAACGGGUUAUUGUCAUUGGUAGCCGGCCGUCCGGUGGCUAGCCGGCGGCAGCUGACAGUCAUGAUGAUUUUGGUGUAGAGAGAGGAAGAGAGAGAAAAGGGAUAAGAGAGAGAGAGCUAUCUGAUGUAGCAUAUUUGUGUUAUGCGUAUG